UGUGCACCAUUUCUUGUGGGGGUGCAGAUUAAGCUUCACACUCUGCUUGGGCAGAGAAUAUAGAUUGCUUGUGGAUUAUCUGCAGCCCAUGGCUCCUGCAUGUAUUGCACUUAAAUGGUACUUUACAGCAGCAGGAGGAUGUAUUUUGAGGAAAAUCAUAAGAAAAAAGUGUAUGAGGAGUAAUGGCUCAACACGACAGCAAAUUACCCUGGGAGAUUGCACAAUUUCUGUCUGGAAAUUUUCAAGGGCAGAUUGGACAUAUCCAUGAUACCUGAUCUCAUGUUGGAGACUGAGCCCCUCCAAUGGGUACAGGUGGCACCUGAAGACUGCAGGUCAUCCUGCCAGAGGAGGUGAGUACCCUGAAGCUUUUGUGUUGCAGGUGGACAAUAGCACUUCCCUCUCCUUCCCAGUGAAAUAGCACAGAAAUGCCUCCUGUUGCCCAAAGAACAAACAAAUGUUCUUUUGCACAUUCUAUUCUUCUUUGUACUUGAAUUAAAAAUCAGUUGAAGUUGCUUGACUGUGAGCAGCUUCAAGACAAGAGCAUCUUGCUGGCUAUAAAACAGCAUGUGGAGCACUGUUGGAAAUCCCUCCACCCCACUGUGAGCCUUUCUGAGAAGCUCCUUUACUGGUUCCCUAUGUUAAGACUGCCAAUUAUUUUUCCAGUAAAGGCAAGUUUUAGUGUUACCUUCUGUAAAGGGAAGCCACAAGACUCCUGUCAAUGAGCCAUUGAGCAGGUUUUAUGCACCUUUUCUUUUCUGUCACUGUCAAUAGGAGCUGACUCCAGUAAUGGCCCAACUUGCUGUCAUUCAGACAUUACUGGCUGUGUCCCAGUCACUCUUGGUGAUUACUGAGGUGUCAUUCAGUUCCAAGGGAACCUGAGGCUCAUCUAUCACUUUGAUAUUUCUCUGCUAUUAUUAUUACACAGAUGACUCAUCGUGCAUUGUAACAAAGUCUUCCAAGACAGUUAAUGGGAACAAUAAGGACUAAAAGAUAUUGGCUGCUGCUCACUCAGUGGAAAAGUUUCAGUUUGUUGUUAUGUGGGGUAGGACACUGGGUUCUGGCUGGCCCCUGUUCCUUGUACCAAAGCCUAGCUAUUCAACCAGGAUAGACCAAUGCACUGGGUUUGGGAUGGAUCUCAAGAAAUCAUCAAGGAAUCUUGGUUACAACAAGACUUUGCCCCUGAUACACUUACACUUCCUAAAUCUUUUCCCUUGAAGCUAUUUCCUGAGCUUUCUAAUCACUAUACAUUUACAUACAGUCAUCCAUCUUCAGUCCUACCUUCUCCCAGCUAUGUUUGGAAAACUAGGGACCAUUAAACUAUUUAAACCAGUCUUUAAUACAGGAAUUGUUUGUUGGAUAUUGGAGCUUAUAUGAAGAGUCAUCUGUCUGGUAGCCCUAAAAAAUAGGGAAAUUCAGGUAUGUUCCUGUAUGAAGAAAUUCCUAUUGCUUAGUGUGUGGCUUCUGCUAACUACCUGGAUGUUGCAGAUUUCUUUUCUGAGGUUUUCUGUUCAGAAUAACAGUGACCUUUGGGUUUCCAACUAGUGCCAGGUAUAUAAAGUAUUUAUGCUAUGAUAUUCAACUUCAAGGGAAGUAAAACCAUGCUGAGGCUUGCUCUAAUCUAAUUCUCUCCCCAAAUCAAUUGAGCCAAUACAGCCACAAGAAAAUAUGGUGCGUAGAACUGUGGCAGAAUCUGUAUUAUCUCUGAGAUUCUAAACAAUUAAAUAUAUCAGUCAGGCUAUUGAAGAGCAUAUCCCUGAGGCACUCUAUCACUUUUUCUUGAUGUGAUGACUUUUACUUCAGGCUGAUGGUCAGGAAAUCUGAAGAGAUGAUGGCUGCAGUGGCUGCUUGUCUCUGUCUUUCAUUGGUCUUUCAGGAUGGCUGAACAAAGGCUUGUCACAAGGAAAAUGAAACUUUUCAAGAGUUCUUGUUAUUAGAAAAUGUGAGGAUAAAAUUAAACCUGAGACAGAAAAAAACCCCAAAGUCUUAACUGUCUGGAGCUGCAGCAACUUAAUUUUUCUCCAUAUUGCAUGUUGAAAAGUACCCAAAGAGUUAAUGUACCUUUUGCAAAGCAACUAUUACAGACAAAGUUUUAACAUUUUUCCUUAUUCAGUCUGCUAAAACAUUCAUCUGAAACUCAUUCUUUCAGCUUGUUAUAUCACCCUGCAUUGCAAUUUCUUCAUACAUUAUUUUCCUGCUAAUUUUGAUUGUCCCUCUUUACUGAAAUAUGAAAAAGACCUAUCAGCAGAAACAAUUAUUUCCCUCCAACUUCAGAACAUAAUUGUUAUUCUUUUGAUUUGUUUGGGUGCUAUGGAAACUCUUAAUAGACUUUUAAUUAAUAGCCAAGCUAGAUACAGCUGAAAAUAGUUUAACUGGCAUAUAUACCUUUAGGAUUUACAAACCACCACUAACCCACUUCAAACUGCGCUUGAGCAUGCUAAAGAUUAUGCAGAGUUAUUCAGAGAAAGGAAAGCUAAGAAGGGCAAAAGUUGCAGUCAUAUGCUUCUCGGGAACUUAUCAAACAGAAACAAAGUCUAUUUAAAAAAAGCCAAGGUUACUCCUUUGCCCAAGCUAAUCUGUUGUGCUCUGACAGAUCAAAAUUUGAGGGUACAAACACAGUUUUGGAAUAGAGAACUGCCGUGAGCCAUGAAUUUGCAAAAGUGUAGCUGGAAAAGAGGGGGAAGGUGAGCAGGCUGGGCUUAGCUUUCGAUGUGUGUUUUUAGACUCCCUUCUUUACCUUCAGUUUCUUCUUUAACACUGUAUCUGUAGCCCUGGAAUUUUUGCAUAAAGGACAUUGCUUCAAAGCUUUGCAUAAUUUACGUUCCUCUGCCUCUGAUCUUCCUGUUGGCUGCUUACAAAGAAAUCCCUAAUAAAUUAUCACUGGACUAACCAGGAAAAGGCGAGGAUGCCAACAAUAAAUUUUGACAUUUACAGUAUCUCCUAUAUUUCAUGCUUAUAUUCAGCGAUCUCAAAUAAUUUCAAACAUUUUUGUAUAGACCACCUACAAAAUUGUACCCACAAAGCAAUUUUGGGAAUACCAAUGCAUUCAGAAGCUGUCAACCUCUGUUCAGGACACUGGCUUAGCACUUCCAGAAAAAUUCAUCUGCAUAAGCCUGUUCCCUCCUGCCUUUUUAUUCCAGAAGCCAUCAGACACGGGUAAACAGCUAAAGGAAGGGCUGUCAUGUUUUGGCCACACCACAAGCGUUCAACCUGUUACAUGAUGGGCUUGAGUAGAGGUACCUGGCCAGUUUGAUGGAAAGAGCUUAGUCAGCUCAAUUUGAAGAGCAUCUGAUGGCUAAUGACAAUGAAAAUGU
Sturnus vulgaris (Common starling) is the source of this 3311-nucleotide non-coding RNA. The record is from RefSeq and is a predicted model, not a curated record. NCBI's taxonomy places the organism in Eukaryota, Metazoa, Chordata, Aves, Passeriformes, Sturnidae.